GGUGCUGUGGCUCAAGUGGUAGAGCGCUAGCCUUGCAUGCAUGAGGCCCUGGGUACGAUUCCUCAGCACCA
RNAcentral lists this transfer RNA (71 nucleotides) under Dipodomys ordii (Ord's kangaroo rat). It matches the Rfam family "tRNA". From Rfam's summary of the family: Transfer RNA (tRNA) molecules are approximately 80 nucleotides in length. Their secondary structure includes four short double-helical elements and three loops (D, anti-codon, and T loops). The record is from Rfam by way of RNAcentral. Lineage: Eukaryota; Metazoa; Chordata; Mammalia; Rodentia; Heteromyidae.